This 1031-nucleotide long non-coding RNA is filed under the name Chrysemys picta bellii (western painted turtle). RNAcentral describes it as "lncRNA (ENSCPBG00000017249.1)". The record is from RNAcentral. Lineage: Eukaryota; Metazoa; Chordata; Testudines; Emydidae.
UUGUUACCCUCAGUUUCUUUCCUGUCUCCUGGUGGCCCUUACAUCACAGUGUCCUUUCCAAAUGAGGACGUUAUUCCCUUUACUGCCCAUCAUUGCUACUCCUGAUGGAAUUGGAGGAGUUGCUGCCAGGACUCUAGUCCCCUGUGAGGGCUGGCACCUGGCCUCCACAGAACUCCCAGCUCCAGCUGUCCCACAGUGAGAACCAAUGGGUGCAAUGGGAACCAAGAGUGCCGCUAACUACAGAGCAUGAGGGCUGGCCCAAAGUCUGCAAUUAUGAAAGAAUAGAAGUUUUCCUCCAGCUGCUCUUAUUUUGCUGAAUGAAAUGCUGGAUUGUGUGGCUUGUCCAGAGAAGACUUGGCCCUUCCCUUCCUUACAUAGGACCCAAUCCUGCAUCCAUUAAAGGCUCGAUCCAAUGCUCAUUGAAAUCAAAUGGGGACCUUUCCGUUGACUUCAAUGGGCAUUGGAUCGGUCCUUAGAUCAAUGUCAAAACUUUCAUUGACUUCAGCGGGUGUGUGACUGGGCCCUCAGAGAGAAAUGCACUUUGCUUUCGUUCGAAGAGAAGAAUUCCAUGUGUAUUUUGAGUCUGCACAAAGCAGACGCAGCCUGUAUCUGUAAGAGUAAGAUGAUUCAGCCAGAAUAAAGAUUAUCCUUUGGGGCUCACUUGUAUACACCCUUUCCCCCUGUUAUUUUUAACCUCUCUUGUUUUUCCUGCAGCUCAUGGACUCCUGGAUGCAGUCCAGGGAAGCUUGCCGGCGGGAGAGGGCUGUAUGGAGCAGCAUACUGCUCCUAAACUUCGUGGCCACAGAAAUCAAACUGGAUGAAGCGUCUCCAUUCACCAGGCUCGGACACCUGGUUGCAGUGCUGGGGAUCCGCUGUGGGGAUCCCGUCAAGGCGAUCAGCUCAAAGGCAGCAGAGGCUGUUCAUUACCUCGUCUCUAUUGCGUGGCACCAAAAGAGUAAGAGAAGCACUGAUGAGCAUCUGAAUCCCCCUCCUGGGAGCUAAAUGCUAGAGACUUUCCUCAGGCAAAGCUC